RNAcentral lists this transfer RNA (85 nucleotides) under Candidatus Zixiibacteriota bacterium. RNAcentral describes it as "candidate division Zixibacteria bacterium tRNA-Ser". It matches the Rfam family "tRNA". From Rfam's summary of the family: Transfer RNA (tRNA) molecules are approximately 80 nucleotides in length. Their secondary structure includes four short double-helical elements and three loops (D, anti-codon, and T loops). RNAcentral also lists the same sequence under 1 other name. The record is from RNAcentral. Lineage: Bacteria; Pseudomonadati; Candidatus Zixiibacteriota.
GGAGAGGUGCCGGAGUGGCCGAACGGGGCUGCCUGCUAAGCAGUUGUACCGAAAGGUACCCUGGGUUCGAAUCCCAGCCUCUCCG